GUAAAGGCCCUUUUCAGGGCCACUCACAAUUUGAUUUAAAUUUUGU
Schistosoma mansoni is the source of this 46-nucleotide regulatory RNA element. It matches the Rfam family "Histone 3' UTR stem-loop". From Rfam's summary of the family: The mRNAs of metazoan histone genes lack a poly-A tail. 3' end processing occurs at a site between a highly conserved stem-loop (modelled by this family) and a purine rich region around 20 nts downstream (the histone downstream element, or HDE). NCBI's taxonomy places the organism in Eukaryota, Metazoa, Platyhelminthes, Trematoda, Strigeidida, Schistosomatidae. The record is from Rfam.